This 2066-nucleotide unclassified non-coding RNA is filed under the name Onthophagus taurus. RNAcentral's name for it is "heterogeneous nuclear ribonucleoprotein Q, transcript variant X4". Lineage: Eukaryota; Metazoa; Arthropoda; Insecta; Coleoptera; Scarabaeidae. The record is from RNAcentral.
AAACAAAUUACGAACGGUUGUUUGAAACUUUUAGCAGUUUUGCAGGCGAGGAAGAUAAAUUCAAAAAAAAACUGAAAAUUUAAGUUUUCGGAAGUGAUUUGUUGUUUGCGACAUGGUCGUUCCACCUAUGGCAGAAGGUAAUGGUGAGGUCCUGCUUGAAGAGUCAAUGAAGAUAGAAAUCGAUACGGAGAGAACGGAAGACUACCACAAGCUGAUUGAGUAUGGCCUCGAUGAAAAGGUGGCCGCUAAAUUGGACGAAAUUUACAAAACGGGCAAAUUGGCCCAUGUUGACCUGGACGAUCGCGCUCUCGACGCCCUCAAGGAGUUCCCCGUUGAUGGCGCGCUCAAUGUUCUCGGGCAAUUUUUGGAUUCGAACCUCGAACACGUUUCGAACAAAUCGGCGUACCUUUGUGGCGUAAUGAAAACUUACCGGCAGAAGAGCAGAGCCGGUUCCAGCCAAAGUACCGCAACACCGGCUCCCGCGCCAGUCAAAGGUCCCGAUGAAGAAAAAAUUAAACAAAUUUUGGAAAGAACUGGAUAUACAUUAGAUGUUACAACAGGACAAAGAAAAUAUGGUGGGCCACCUCCAGGUUGCGAUAGUACACCACCAGGACCUGGUUGUGAGGUAUUCUGUGGGAAAAUUCCAAAGGAUAUGUACGAAGACGAGUUAAUACCACUGUUUGAAGAAUGCGGCACAAUUUGGGAUUUGCGGCUAAUGAUGGACCCGAUGACGGGAACGAAUCGGGGCUACGCUUUCGUUACAUUUACCACUCGCGACGCCGCGCAACUUGCUGUGCAAAAGCUCGAUAAUUACGAAAUCAAAUCCGGCAAGACUCUGAAAAUAAACAUUAGUGUUCCGAAUCUUCGGCUUUUUGUGGGCAACAUACCAAAGUCUAAAGGCAAAGAGGAGAUACUGGAAGAGUUCGGUAAAUUAACAGCUGGUCUUAUGGAGGUGAUCAUAUACAGUUCUCCGGAUGACAAAAAGAAGAACCGCGGCUUUUGUUUUUUGGAGUACGAGUCUCAUAAGGCUGCCUCUUUGGCAAAACGUCGAUUGGGCACCGGCAGGAUUAAGGUUUGGGGCUGUGACAUCAUAGUCGAUUGGGCCGACCCACAGGAAGAACCAGACGAACAGACCAUGUCGAAGGUUAAAGUACUUUACGUGCGCAAUUUGACUCAGGAUAUUUCUGAGGAAAAAUUGAAGGAGUCUUUCGAACAGUAUGGUAAAGUUGAGCGUGUUAAGAAAAUUAAGGAUUACGCGUUUAUUCAUUUUGAGGAUCGUGAAAAUGCCGUUAAGGCGAUGGAAGAAUUAGAUGGUAAAGAAAUGGGUGGUUCAAAUAUAGAAGUGUCUUUAGCAAAACCUCCGUCCGAUAAAAAGAAAAAAGAAGAAAUUUUGCGUGCCAGAGAAAGGAGAAUGAUGCAAAUGAUGCAAGUUCGUGGCGGGAUGAUGCCAGGGGCGAUGCCAAUUCGAGGACCGCCGGGACAAGGUGGCCCAAGGACUAGCGCAGGAAUACGCGGGCCGAUGGGUCGUGGGGAUUAUGAUUAUGAUUACGACUAUUACGGUUAUGGGGAUUAUCGAGGCGGCUACAGUGACCCCUAUUACGAUGACUAUUACCGUUACGAGGAUUACUAUUACGAUUAUCCGCCUGCUCCGCCGCAAGCACGAGGACGAGGCCGUCAGCCACAGCCGGAACUGGAGGAAGCGAGCACAACGAGUGUGUACUUCGAAAGUGGAACACAGGUUGGCCGUGGACGUGGGGUGGUGGCACGUGGCCGGGCCGGUGGGCCCCCAGCCCGUGGGGCGGCGGCGGUGGCCAACAGAGCGGGCCGGGCCGGAGCAGCCGGGGGGCGUGGGGCAGCACGUCAGCCCGCUCGUGGGGGGGCCCGCGCCAAGGGAAGUUUACCAGCUGUUUUGUUAGCUACUGCUUAGUUCUUUUGAAUACAACGACUGACUUUAGGAUAGAUCUUGUUUUCCUUGUGAUAUCGCAGCAGGUAAGCGAAAAUUUGACGGGGGUCACCAGAAUCAGGGGGAGUCAAAGCGCAGAUACCAGAGCACGUGGGGCAACCAG